Molecule: RNA transcript, 1914 nt
Organism: Cucurbita moschata (crookneck pumpkin)
Lineage: Eukaryota; Viridiplantae; Streptophyta; Magnoliopsida; Cucurbitales; Cucurbitaceae
Gene name: glutamyl-tRNA(Gln) amidotransferase subunit A, chloroplastic/mitochondrial-like
Exons: 11
Source: RefSeq, a predicted model, not a curated record
UCGGCUUCGUUACCAGUUUUCCCUGCGCUCGUCAAGCAGCGAACAUGCUAUCCACUCUGCAGCCUCCUCGCUGUUCCCUUUCUCGCUUCCCUCUCCAUCUUCCUUCUAAACCCUUCUUCUUUCACUCCAAACCAACCCCGCUCUCAUCUCCAUAUCCCAUCGCCAAUGCCACUCUCACCGACCAAAUUGCAACUUCCGCUUCAUCCCCAUCUCUUCACUCCCAAAUUCUCUCCAUCCGCCAUUCCCUUCUUUCCCGCCAAUUCACUGCCACCCAACUUGCCGAGUCCUAUCUCAAUCGCCUUCGAGCAUUGGAGCCUCACCUUAAGUCAUUUCUCCACGUCUCUGAUAGCGUUCUCUCCGAUGCCCGCGAGAUUGAUGACAAAAUUCUGAGAAAUGAGGAAUUGGGUCCUUUGGCUGGGGUGCUUGUCGGCGUUAAGGACAAUAUUUGUACUGCGGGUAUGCCUUCCACUGGUGGGUCUAGGAUUCUCGAUGGGUAUCGACCGCCAUUUGAUGCUACUGCUGUGAGGAGAAUCAAGGAGUUGGGUGGGAUUGUGGUUGGGAAGACUAAUUUGGAUGAGUUUGGAAUGGGUAGUACUACUGAAGCCUCUGCUUUCCAGGUGACUGCAAAUCCGUGGGAUUUGAAAAGGGUCCCGGGAGGAUCAUCAGGAGGCUCCGCUUCAGCUGUUUCUGCUAGGCAGUGUGUGGUGUCUUUAGGAAGUGAUACAGGUGGAAGUGUGCGGCAGCCAGCGUCUUUUUGCGGUGUUGUUGGGUUGAAACCAACGUAUGGUCGUGUCUCAAGAUUUGGACUUAUGGCCUAUGCUUCAUCGCUUGAUGUCAUUGGCUGCUUGGGGACAACAGUUGCUGAUGCUGGGAUUCUUCUACAUGCAAUUUCUGGUCAUGAUACACUUGACGCCACCAGCAGUAAACGAGAAGUUCAUGAUUUCACGUCGCAAUUUACUGCUGCUGAUUCAUUGGAAAGUAAACCCUUGAAGGGAUUGAGGAUUGGCCUAAUUCGUGAAACUCUUGAUAAUGGUGUUGAUGGUGAAGUAAGUUCUGCAAUACGUGCUGCUGCUUCACAUCUUGAAGAACUGGGAUGCUCCAUCAAUGAGGUAUCACUGCCAUCAUUCUCUCUUGGGCUGCCUGCCUAUUACAUUCUUGCAUCAUCUGAAUCAUCUUCAAACUUAGCACGAUAUGACGGUGUCAGAUAUGGAAAUCAAGCUGUUGCUGAUGAGCUAACUGGCCUGUAUCAAAAUUCCAGAGCAACAGGAUUUGGUUCGGAGGUGAAAAUGAGAAUUUUGAUGGGAACAUACGCUCUCUCUGCUGGUUAUUACGAUGCUUACUACAAGCGUGCUCAGCAGGUGAGAAGCGUUAUUCAGAAAAGCUUCAAGGCAGCAUUAGAUGAAAAUGACAUCUUAAUAUCACCCGCUGCUCCAUCUGCCGCUUAUAAAAUUGGCGAAAAGGUGAAGGAUCCAUUGGCAAUGUAUGCAGGUGACAUCAUGACUGUCAAUGUUAACUUAGGUGGACUACCUGCAUUGGUGUUGCCUUGUGGAUUUGUUAGAGAUGGGUCCUCCGACCUCCCUGUCGGCCUUCAAAUGAUUGGCGCAGCGUUUGACGAGGGAAAGCUUGUUAAAGUGGGACACAUCUUUGAGCAAACUCUUCCAGACUGCAGAUUUGUUCCACCUCUACUAGCUGAUCACAUUGGGGGUUAGCUCCAAGUCUGUUGAGUUGUGAAAGCACCCAAAUUGGAAGCUCGUGUAUUAUUUGAUUAUGAUUCGGUGAGUGCUGCAAUUCAAAUGGAUUGGAUUCAAUUGCUAAAAUUUUGGUUGCUAUUAUUGGGACCUUAAAUGAGUCUUCGUUUGGGCAUUCCUUGGGUGUAAAUUGGAGAUUUAAGUAUUUUUUCAACCAUUUUUCUGA